This is a non-coding RNA of Aegilops tauschii subsp. strangulata, 4400 nucleotides long. The record is from RefSeq and is a predicted model, not a curated record. Lineage: Eukaryota; Viridiplantae; Streptophyta; Magnoliopsida; Poales; Poaceae.
CUCGGCGCACGCGUGCAGCCGUCCCUGCCCCGCCCCCAGUAUAUACGGUCCGACCUGCGGGCCGGUUCCCCACACCCCAUUCCAUUCCCCAUCUCAGACAGCCCAAAUCUCCAAAUCCAAAACCUAGCUCCCAGCGAUGUCUCCCUGCCAUGAUCCCCGCCGCCGCUGAUAUCGUUGGACCCGCCGCCCGCGGGGCCCUCCGAGGCCGCUAGGCCGUCGGCCUCCCCGCAGAAGCAGUCGGAGCCUUCCGGCACUGGGGCACCGCCGCCGCCGUGCUAGGGGCCGCCCACGAGAAGAACGCCUUGUGGGUCGACAACCUGCCCGCGCACACAAGCGAGGAAGACGUCAUGGCGGCCUUCGCCCUGCACGAGGCGCUCGAUUGCAUCAUCACACGCGCCGGCUCCUGCAGCUACGUGUUCGUCGUUUUCCGCUUUGUCGCCGAGUCUGGAGCCGCCCUCGAGGUGCUCCGCGCGUUCAUCUCGGUCGAGUACACCUCGUCGGAACGGUCAGAAGCAGGCAACUUCAAUAGUAGAGGAUCAUUGCCACCCGGUGAAAUGGGAGUUGGACAUGCAAAGGUUCUGCUGGAGUACGAAUGAGAGAGGCAAAAAUUCCUACCAAUGUUCUCCGGGUGGGUUUACCCAAUACACAUAAAGUUAACGAGGAGGCACUAAGGCGGGCUAUGGCAGCACAUGGUGUGGUUACAGACAUCAGAGUUUUUCCAGAAAGGCGGUAUGCUUUUGUGGAAUUUGCAACUAUUGAAGGAGCUUCUAAUGCUAAGAAUCUUCUAGAUGGGUGUCUUUUCAAUAAUACGAGGAUUCAUGUUCUUUUCUCCGGCAGUGGGCUUGAUAACCUAACACCGCUUGUUGGGUUUCCUAGAUCAGAGAUUUACAGCGACAGUCCUCAUGCCGCAUGCGAUUAUUUUGGUGCUGGUCACAGUAGUCAUGGCACAUCACAAGGGUAUGAUCCUCGACGUGGAAGGUCAAGAUAAGUGGACUAUGGUGCAAUGCCAAUCACUAGUGGUAUCCUUCCAGCACCUGAAGCUGGCUCAUCUUUGUUGUCCGGACAUUCUGCUCAUAGUGCACUUGAUCCGAGAGAAGCCAAAAGGGUGAGGCCAGAUGCUGGCAUCAACCCUUAUGGAUGGGUAGGCACUUAGGGUCUUCUGCCGAGUCGGGUAGCUUUUUUUAACCUUGAUCUUUAGUGAAUCAUUUUCUACGACUUAUCGAUUGUUUUUUCCGGACAUUUAGCAAAUUGUUUUUCGGAUUGGGGAACAAGGGUCAGGUUGGGUAGCUCUUUUUUUCCUCGGAUCUUUAGCGAAUCGUGUUCUACAACUUAUGGAUGGCAGUGGUGGUAAUUGUUUGCAACUUCAGGGGCAAAGUCAAGACGAACGGGCAGAAGCACGAAUCCAUUUAUUAGGGUUCAAGAAUGUGAUGUGGUAGUGAAGUAUAUUGUGGUCAUUUGUGUUGUGGUAGAGACACUUUCUUUUAUUAGGGUCGGGACGUACGGGCAGAAGCACGAACCAUAGAUACAUACUUAUGAUUGUUUGCGUUGUGGUAGAGACACUUACGUUUAUUACGGCCAUUUACAUUAUUUCUAUGUUUUGUAGUGUAGUAUAUUAUGCCAAUGAGAUAAUGUAUGCAUUCCUUAUUUUUGAGAAGUUUUUAAGAGGGAAAGUUAUUACUAACAAACUCCUUGAAUUAAAUUAAAAGGUGUAUAUGAAGGCCAUGUUUUUGCGAUUAUUUUUCUCAAGGCGGCAUAAUCAGAUGCCCACCCACACGGCAAGGCCAUCCCUGCCCCACUCACAACAUAUAGGGAUAUAGAUGCAUAAAAUAUCUAGUACCUAUGGUAUGCUCUGAUUUAUGUCUGAGUGAUGUACUAAUAAGGAAUGAUGUACUAAUAAGGAAUAAUCCUUGGUUAGUCAUAGUUCUUUAUUUCUUGAGUGAAAUUGCUCCAUUCAUGUGCUAAUGUUGUGUAAUGAGUUGUGCACAAGUGACACAAUUUGCAGUUAUUCAGACUGUGAUUCGAUAUAAAUAUGAAGUGUAUUUUAUCUAUGAUCUAUUUCACUUUAAGUUAGACCAUUCAUAGCUAUAUCAUAGUUUUUUUUGCUAGGACUACUUGUAUGAGGAUUUUAUUCAUCUAUUUCACUACAGAAAUAGGUAUGCCUGCUUAUCGCAUUUGGUCUUUGAUUGGGUUUUACACGAUAGAGCUAUUAGGAACCUAUGUGUCGGAGGAAUUAGUUCAUCUAUUUCAAAGUAGGAGGCAGACGAAGAGUUUAAAGGAUUGUAAAGAUUGAAGGUGUUGAAUUCUCCAUUGGUCAAACUUUUGCAUACAUCGACUCUGAGUAGCUGGAAGAUGCCAUUUCUACCUAUAAAGUCGUGAAUGGGACAUAUUUUAUACUCCUCUUCGCCGUAUAGUUUGGAGGGAUAUGGUUCGAAUCCAUAUGGGUUAAUGAAACAUGAUUAAUAAAACAUUAACAUAAACAACAAUGUGCAUGCUUGUAUGAUGUAUAGAAAUGUUGUAACAACACAUACAUAAUCUUAUGAUUAUUUGUGUUUCUCUAGAGACACUCACUUUACUUAGGGUCAUUUACUUUAUUCUAUUUUGGGUAGUGAAGUAUAUUAUGCCAAUGAGAUAUUGUAUGCAUUCCUUCUUUUUGAGAUGUAAUUAAGUCGGAAAGUAAUUACUAACUAACUCCAUGAAAUAAACUAAAAGGUGUCUAUGAAGUUCAUGUUGUUGUGAGUAUUUUUUCCCAAGCGAAGGAUAAUCGGGUUCGAGCCGACUACGCUCGGCCCUCCGCCCCCACCCCACCCCUGAAGGUAAUACGUAUGAGUGCGGCCCCAUAGGGAACAUUUGGACAAGAAUAUGUCACGGGGAGAGGAUAUGGUUGCGAGCGGUUGCGGUGGGCGGGCCCCAAAGCCAUGUCUCCCCAGAAAUAAGAUAACGACUAACUAUCUAUGUUUCUAUUUCUUUGUGUUUAUUUUGCUAAAUAGAUUGAGGCGAUGCAAUCUUGGAUUAUGAAUGAGAUAUUUGCCCUUGGUUAUUAAGGCGUAAUGAAAAGUUUGAACUAUGUGCUGGGUAAACUUUCUUGUUUUGAGAAGGUCACACUUAACAAUUCUUGGUGAUGGGAUUGUUUUUUUAGUGUUCCGGUGAUGGGAAUGGGCGCUUGUAUGAUGUCGAAGCGGGUAUAGAAAAGGUGCCGCCCACGGACUUAGCGUAGCUACGCCCGCAGUAUAUACAGUCCGGCGCACGGGAUAGUUUCCUCACUCUGCUCCAUUCCCCGUGACUGACAGCCUAAAUCCCCACAUACUAACCCCAGCUCUCGCUAAUCUCUCCCUACCCUGGUCCCCUCUGCCACGGAUGUCACCGGAUCUACCGUCUACGGAGACCUCUAUGGUCGUAGAGGCGACUAGGACAUCAGCCUCACCGCCGAAGGAAUUGGAUCCCGCCGGCGUUAGGGGUGCAGCCUCCGUCGCCGCCAUGCAAGUUGCCGCCCACGAGAAGAACGCGCUGUGGGUCAGCAACCUGCCCGCGCAUGCGUGCGAGGAGGACGUCGUGGCGUCCUUCUCCCCGCACAAGGCACUCGACUGCAUCAUCAUGCGUGUCGGGUACCGCAACUACGCCUUCAUCAUUUUCCUCUCCAUCGCCGAGUGUCAGACCGCCCUCGAGGUGCUCCGCGGGUCCAAGGUCAAGGGCACCUUCAUCCUGAUUGAGUUCGCCUAGCCGGUAAUAUCUCAACCCCUCUCCCCCCUCUCGUAUCCGCUCCGACCUUGGAUCCGCCUAGGAUCUGGCUGCACUUUGUGAUGUAAAAUUUUCAAUAAUUAGGACUUCGGUGUUUGUCAUUUGCGGUUUAUUUAGGCGGUGUGGGCUGAGGCCUCCAGCAGCUCUGAUAUAUGUAGUUAUUCCAGUGGAGACACGAUGGAUCAUCGGCGACGGGGUGGUCUGGCGGAGGCUCGCAGGUGGCUAGAGGCAGCAGCGCUCAGAGUCCAAGGAAGCGUGGGGCAUGAGGCCCUUGAUAUGGCGGAUGGGCACCUGUGAGCCGAUAGCGACGGGAAACCUUGACACCGGUGAAUGGCCUAGCAGGAAGCUGUGGCAGUGGUUCUUGGGCGCCAGAGGCGGCAGCCACGGGGAGGUUUGUGUGGUGGGAAACGUCGGCAGCGCACGGGAAGGCUAGGUCGUUCGGAUUUUCUUUAUAACUGCAGGCCAUCUGGAUUGGGUGAAGAAGGGUCGAGUUGGGCAAUUUUUUCUGAAUCAAAUAGUUUUCCAGAUUGGGGAACAAGGGUCGGGUCGGGCAGCUCUUUUUUGUUCCGGAUCUUUAGCGAAUCGUUUUCUAACACUUAUGGAUGCCAGUGGUGCGUAAUUGUUUUUCGGAUCUUUAGCAAAUUGUUUUCAAGAUUAGCGACAAA